Molecule: ribosomal RNA, 432 nt
Filed under: uncultured bacterium
Lineage: Bacteria
Description: partial 16S ribosomal RNA
Rfam family: Bacterial small subunit ribosomal RNA
Source: RNAcentral
AACGAACGCUGGCGGCAUGCCUAACACAUGCAAGUCGAACGAGACCUUCGGGUCUUGUGGCGCACGGGUGCGUAACGCGUGGGAACCUGCCCUUAGGUUCGGAAUAACUCCCCGAAAGGGGUGCUAAUACCGGAUCAUGUCUUCGGACCAAAGAUUUAUCGCCUUUGGAUGGGCCCGCGUUGGAUUAGCUAGUUGGUAGGGUAAAAGCCUACCAAGGCGACGAUCCAUAGCUGGUCUGAGAGGAUGAUCAGCCACACUGGGACUGAGACACGGCCCAGACUCCUACGGGAGGCAGCAGUGGUGAAUAUUGGACAAUGGGCGAAAGCCUGAUCCAGCAAUGCCGCGUGAGUGAGGAAGGCCUUAGGGUUGUAAAGCUCUUUUACCCGGGAUGAUAAUGACAGUACCGGGAGAAUAAGCUCCGGCUAACUCCGU